CACGUCAGACACUAAUGCUGUGUAUUUAUUUGCCACUUCCACGCUGUAACUUGAACUUCUGCACCUGUCAAAGCAUUCCAGGGAAGAGAGGGGCAUUACUGGAGAGCAAAAGUUUUAUACCUGUUACACCUGUUUUGUUUUGUCACCGCCUGAGAUUUUCUUUUUUUCUUGCCAAGAUUGCCAGGUGGUUUAAUCCGCUCCUCCGCCGGUCUUAUGAAGAAAGACUUUGUGUGCUGAAUUGCAUUUGUUGCUCUCAUCUGCUUUCCCUUAUCGAAUACGAGCUACUCACCUAAACCUCUGCUUUAUUUAUUUAUUUAUUUGUUUGUUUGUUUUUUAGCGUGUAUUCCCCUUUCUUUUCACCUCCCCCUGCUCUUGCCGGGGCGGGGGCUGCUCUUUGUGCGUGCCGGGGCUGCGGGGAGCGGCAGCGCCCGCUCCCGCUGUGCUCGAAUCAGAGCGCGGUGCCUCUCGCCCAAGGAUCCUGACACGUGGAGCAUUGAUGAACUCAGCAUAACGUUGAAUGGGAGCUUUUUGGCAGCUGAGACACAAGGGCUAAGCUGCAGGGUGAAGUGCAAAGGAUCAGGUUUUUUCCUAGAAGAGAGUGGGAAAACUGUCUCAGUUGGCUCUAAAUGCUCUGAACAGGAGGAUCUCCUACUGCAUUUGUAAUGCCGAUGGGCAGCGGUCCUGGCUGAAGAUUUCUGAGAACUUUAAGAAGUUUCUCAGACCUUGCAACACGCCCUGCUGCACGGGACAGCAUGUUAUACCAACAGCCAUUAUAAACCUGGAAUAGUCUUUGUCCUUUUCAUCGUGAUUGUUGUUGGUAAACUCGUAUAAAUGGGAAGUGCCGUUUCCUUCGCAUUGUUUGAAGUGUAUUUGUUCAAGAAAUAACUAAAUGACAGCUUUCCGUGUUUAAAACAGGAGAGUUUUCCCUAAUGCCCUAAGUCUAAAUUAGUAUUCUUGAUGUGCCGAUGAGCCUGGAAUAGUAGUGCAGCCAGGCUGGGUCUAGGCACUAACAUGUCCUGGGAGUUCAUCUCUUACCUAAUAAAUAAAUCAUAAAUAAAUCCUUUUUAUUUUUUAUUUUUGGUAUAUAUUUUUUUAAUUUUCAUUUUAUUUCUUACUGCCAGCUGAAAAGUUGAAUUAGAAAGGGGGUGCCAAGUGCUUCUUUUGGAAAUAUUUUGUUUGGAUGACUCCUAGGUAACAUCAGAGACACCUUUCCUGGGUGGAAGCUCUGAGACAGAUCAGAAUUACUGUGGCAACGUGGAUUUCCUGAGUAGCGUUUUUGCAUGUGCUAUUGAAUUAGUGACUUUAAAAGAAAAGAGUUUUCACAGUUCUUCUGUGUGUGCAGUAUACCUUCAUGAUUUUCCCCUUCAUUCCUCAUUUUUUCAUAUGUCUGAAACAACAGCAGGGGAAAAAGAAAUAUACCUUGACUGAUGGGAAGGAAAUAGGUGAGAAUGUGGAAGACCCUUAUAAUUAAAUCAAUUGAUACAAAGAAAAAA
Anas platyrhynchos (mallard) is the source of this 1493-nucleotide long non-coding RNA. RefSeq lists it as uncharacterized. The record is from RefSeq and is a predicted model, not a curated record. NCBI's taxonomy places the organism in Eukaryota, Metazoa, Chordata, Aves, Anseriformes, Anatidae.